This 468-nucleotide ribosomal RNA is filed under the name uncultured bacterium. RNAcentral's name for it is "partial 16S ribosomal RNA". It matches the Rfam family "Bacterial small subunit ribosomal RNA", at positions 28 to 507 of the family's 1533-position model. The record is from RNAcentral.
GAUGAACGCUGGCGGCGUGCUUAACACAUGCAAGUCGAACGGAAAGGCCCAAGCUUGCUUGGGUACUCGAGUGGCGAACGGGUGAGUAACACGUGGGUGAUCUGCCCUGCACUUCGGGAUAAGCCUGGGAAACUGGGUCUAAUACCGGAUAGGACGAUGGUUUGGAUGCCAUUGUGGAAAGUUUUUUCGGUGUGGGAUGAGCUCGCGGCCUAUCAGCUUGUUGGUGGGGUAAUGGCCUACCAAGGCGUCGACGGGUAGCCGGCCUGAGAGGGUGUACGGCCACAUUGGGACUGGGAUACGGCCCAGAGUAGUACGGGAGGCAGCAGUGGGGAAUAUUGCACAAUGGGGGCAAGCCUGAGGCAGCGACGCCGCGUGGGGGAUGACGGCCUUCGGGUUGUAAACUCCUUUCGCUAGGGACGAAGCGUUUUUGUGACGGUACCUGGAGAAGAAGCACCGGCUAACUACGUG